RNA transcript from Alosa alosa (allis shad), 2156 nucleotides. RefSeq lists it as uncharacterized. The transcript is spliced from 9 exons. NCBI's taxonomy places the organism in Eukaryota, Metazoa, Chordata, Actinopteri, Clupeiformes, Clupeidae. The record is from RefSeq and is a predicted model, not a curated record.
AUGAUAAAAAAUAAAUUAGAGCAAAAUCAUAUGUAUGUAUAGCAAAAUAUUGCAUUUCAUUUUAAAUCCCUUUUAGUCAAUUUAGUUUUGUUGAUGACAUGCUACCAUUAAGUUUUUUUCCAGAACUGAUAAGGCCCUGCCAUUUUUACCGGCCUACAUGCAGAUUAGAGUGACGUUAGAGGGGAACACAAAUUGAGAUAUGUUAGAGGGGAACACAAAAAGAGUAUGUUUGUCUUUCAAGUAAUAUCCCAACUUGACCGCUGUCAUAUUCAUCUGUUGCAUGGUCCCUGGUCAGAAAGACUACUUUAGACACUAGAAAGAAAGGCUCAGAAAGGCUACUUUAGACACCGAAGGCAGGAGAAACUAACAGAAGCCAACAAGCCGCCUUCAAUAGUCCAGACCCAGAGAAAAGAUGGACAUUCCCACAGAGAAGAGAGAAUCACAUACCUUCAUGUCCUGACUGGAGUUGGAGAAGUUUGAGAAUGAACUGAACGAGGGCAGUACAGCUUGAGUUGCAGCCAUCCGGUUGGGGCCCCCAAAUUCUCAGGAAACUAGCAGACCUGUGCGCGGCGGGUGAUUAUGGGCUGGCUGGUGUUUAUCGGCGCGGGUGAGCUGAUGUGGGGCUGCUGUCCGAGGGCAGAUAAUGGCGCGCUGCUCCUGACGCAGCCAGAUCACGGGCCUCAUCACAGAUAAAGAGCCUCUCAGCUGCUCCUGCAGCACCAACGCCACCAACACAAGACAGCGGGCCAGAGAUCAGCGCUCACCGUUUACGUUAGUGCAGCAGGUGGCAGUCUCCGCUGGGACGGGUCCAGCUCUGAUACAAUAGACCUGCUCCAGAUGUGAACUGCAGCAGGCCAAGCCAAGUCUGAUCAUGUCGUGUAAAUAGUCUCCGUGGCUGAAAGACCAUAUGUCCGGAGUUCAGCAUGAGUGCCCUCUCCUCUUCAGUAGCUGACAUGCAGUCACUUCCUGUGCCUUUUAAUUCCACAUAUGGAGGCUUAGAACCACUAGGGCCUCACACCAACUGGUGGUUUACUGGUGGAAGAUGGUACUUUAUCAACAUCACAUUCUCAUGAUACUCCUACUGAUAAGCUGCUCUCACCUAUUAGGUGUAGCCCUGGAGUCUGACCCCAAACCGACCAGCGGGCCUCUGGUCCCCUCUCUCGUCCAGCUGCCUUCUGUCGGGGACAGCCUUGUGUUCCUGUGUACUGCUCCGGGGGACCAUCGGGCGCUGCACUUUGACCUCUACGGAAGCAAACGUCUGUGUAACACAGUCAAGCACCAAACUGAAGAGUGUGGUGCCAUUUUUACUGUGAAUCGCAAAGAAGUGACCAGUGGAAAGGAUUUCUGCUGCCUUUUCAAAGACUCUCAGAACAAACCCAGCGCGUUCAGCUCUUAUGUGUACGCCAAAUUAGAUGAGAAGGUCAGCCCUCUCCCCCCGCCUGUCUUGACGUUCUCCAGCGGAGCGGCCUGUAGUGGUCAGCCGUUGACCUUCCACUGCUCUGUGCCUCUGUGUCUCCGUCCGAAGGCCGUCCUGCUGCUCAGCCAAAGCAGCGUCACCGACAGCGCCGGACGUCAGAGUGCGCUGCGGAGUCCCAGCUCGGUGGUGUCCAGCUCCAGUGACCCCAGCUUCAGCGUGGUGCCGGUGGACGGGGCGUUCUACUCCUGCCUCUAUCAGAUGACCGUCUCCACAGACCUGACCAUCAACUCCAGCGCUAGUCAAGCCGUCACGGUCACUCUCUCACAUGGACCAAACGCAGAAGAAGAAGCAAAAGAAGGAGAAGAAGGAGAGAGCCCAGACUGGGCCCUGGUGCUGGGAGCCAUGUCUGCAGCUGUGCUGUUUCUAGCCAUAGUCAUAGGCCUGGGGGUCAUUGUACACAAGAGAGGUACCUACUGACAUACCGCCCCCUUCAAGAGGAGCUCUCCUUUUCAUAAGACACUUCACAAUGCAAUGAGGAUCGAAUCUAAAAUCAGGUUUUUGUGAAGUCCAACAGUGACAUGUCAUUGAAUACUGCAAUAGUUGAUGUGCUGUAACUUCUGCCAAUGUGUAUAUUUUUCAGUGAAAGAUGCGGCGAGGGAGAAGAAGACAAGGGAGAAUGCUAAAUUCUGGACUACAGUGCAUGCAAGAGACCACAUUGUAGAUCUCCCCAUUUCACGGC